UCACCACCAUUUUGCUUGUUCCUGUAUGUACCUGAGUACUUCCCAGCCAGAGUCAAGAUGGUGCCCUCUUCACCUGGUCGCCGGUGAUAAACUAGUUCUCCUCCUAGCACCAACCGAUGAGUGAUGCUCUGCAGGAAGUGAGCAACCAUGAUCACUGUGGGAGAGCGAGGAGACAAGAGUCAGGCAGGAUACCCAUGGAGGAGAGAGAGAAGUGCCUCGGUGGAUGGAGGCGGGAACUGUGGGUCACCUGGAAGACAGCCUUAGCUCGCAGCCGCUCUGCCAACAGAAGCAAGACCUGGGCGUUGAGACUGCCGCUGCUGUCCAUAUCCCCCACCACAGUGGGGAACACCUGUGAAGGGGUGUAGACAGUAAAGCUGAGAUGAGUAGGUGGCUUUAUUCACGGAAACAUGGACACAAGAGAGUUCAGUAACGUCACACAGUGCCCCCUAGUGGACGCGCCAAAGACAAACUCCAGCAUCCCUGCACGGGGAAUAGUUAACUUCUCUAUCCUCUCCCAUUCAGAAGAGGCACAUUUCCUCCUCCUCAAGACCUCCGUGCGGAUCCCUCACCUCUGUGGGGCUAAGCUGCCAGUCCCCUGCAUAGGCGGCAUGGAGGUGAUAGCCUGGCAAGCCCAGUGCACUCAUGUGCACGGUAUGAGACACCUGAGGGGGAAAGAGACAACGGAGAACAUAGCAUUCUACUUCACUUCAGUUCCGUAUCCCGCCCUUCAUCUUUUUCCCAUCCAGAGAGCCUUUUAAAAACCUCAAGCUAAGCCGCGAGGUGGUGGCGUACGCCUUUGAUUCCAGCCCUCUGAGGCAGAGGCAGGCCUAUCUUUGUGAGUUUUAGGCCAGCCUGGUCUACGGCAUAAGUUUCAGGACAGCCAAGGCUACACAGAGAACUGUCUCACAAAACAAAACAAAACACACUUCAACUCUUUAGAGGGUCACUGGAAUUUUAAGCAACAAGUCCCCCAGGCAAAGGAGGUAAAAGGGAGCCCACAUCUUCCCUCAUUUGUCCCACAUAGCCUGGCUAAGACUGGAGUGAAAGGUGUGAAGAACAGGAUCCAGGGACAAGCAGGGAGGAGCAGUAGGAAGGGGCCAGAGAGUGGGAGCACCUGGAAAUGGCUGCUCAGAACCUUGUUGACAACCAGCUUCACGCCCUCCAUCUGUGCUGGGAAUACAUCUGGAGGGAGUGAGGAGAAGGGAAGGAACAGCAGAAAUAAGGACCCCUAACCAAGGAGAUAGGUUCCCCUUUCAGUCCCAUAUGAAGCCCUGGAGGAAUUGACCUCCUUUCAAAUCCUGCAACAAAAUGCUCCACUCUGAACAUCUGAUCCUUCCUGAGUGCUGGAUGCUCCAGCCGUGAUCUCCCCUUUCUGUUUACAUCACUGGACAUCAGCAUUCAAGGUCCUCCCCUCCUCUGCCCCUCCAACCUGAGACACCCAAAGGCUCAGUGAGGUCUCACCUUUGCACAACCUGUGCAGCUCAUCGAAGCUCCCGGGGCUUGGCAGCGGUUCCUCUCGACGGGGGCCCCGGCGGGGUAAGGUCCCCAUCGGUGCCAGGCCCAGGGUGUUCCCCAUUUUAGUCCAGAGGACAGGGAGGGGUCUGGGUUAGGUUGGGAAAACAAUCUAUUGCCCCCUCUAUCCCCCACGGGCUCCACCCCCCAUCAUCAGGCUCCCCGGUUUCAGAAACUUCCAUACAGUUCGAUGCUAGACCUGCAAAAGGAACAGUAGGGGGACAGCGCAUCUAUGGGAAAAUUGAAUCCCAGGCACAUUCCCGCCCCAUCGUUGAUCCCUCACCCCCACCUGUCACCCAUGUCCGCUCCCCCAGUAUCUAGUCUUACCCACGACCACAGGCUUCAGCUAACGUCCUAGUUUCUCUCUUCCUCAUCCCACGUCCCAAGGUUCUGCUCGCAAUGGAAAAUGAGCCCUUACCAUCUCAGACCAUCCUGCUGCCCCUUUCCCCUAGGCACACCCCGGUCAUCUUGAUGGGGCAGCCAUCUUGCGUAAUGGCAGAACUACAGCUUCAGCCUGUAUUCCCAGCAUAGUCGCAGGCGCCAUCUUGGAACUGGGCAAAGGAAGCGCUCAAAGACCCAGCCCACCCAAUGAUGAAAAAAGGUGCCUCAAUUUCCCAAUGACCAAUGGGAGAGUAGGAAACAGAAGAGUGGCAGGCCUGACGGCCCCAGAGCUUCAGUCCGGUGCUGCAGUGGCGAGUGGGAGUUUGUGGGUGGCCCUUUAGACUUGGGUCGAAGGCCGCCUCACUAAGAUCGCCCAGCCUCUUCAAGGUCGAAAUAAACUUGUGAGCAUUCAAGACACUAGAGGGAGCAUUUUGUCGCUUGGACCCCUGGAGCGCCUUAAACCGGAAAAAUGAAACUAGAGUUUGAGUUUGGAGACGUAUUUUAUGAAGGAUUGCUAAAGACUGAGACGACGUAGUUCACAGUACCCUCCACCUUCCUGAAAGCCGCCAGGGAAUCCCCACCGCCUUCCACACACUCCGAGGGCUGCUACUCACAAACACAGCUCUCUCCUAGACAACAGAACCCUACCACCACUCCCUCCUCCCUCCGGAGUUCACAUGAUGGCUGUGAGAGUGGGCAGAGGAGCGGGUCGUGGGCAGAACCAGUUCCUCAAGCAGCUGCCCUCACUAGUUGGUACUGCUUUGCAGAAAAGAAAAAGGAAAUCUAGGAAUACGACUACAGCCUGAAGUUACACUCUGUCCCCAGGGCCAGGGGCGAGCAGUCGUGUGGCGCUAGAGCUCCCCCACAAGACAGCUGGAAAGGGGCAAGAUUUCAUGGUUCUUGACUGGUUUCCACACUUCCUCCCCUGUACCUCUGGGUAAUGUUACAGUGUACACAGGGUAAGCUUUAGGGACACACCGGUGAAAGAUGGGAAUGUUUUCAGUAUCCCCUUAGCUGAUUCCACUGGAGAGCUCUGAGCCUAGGGAAUGUACCUCUGUCCUCCCACACAAUUAGAGCUGGGACAGGGGCCAAGGCCUAACUGAUAAGGUGAUCAAAUGACCGAACACCUUUGACCUUUAUUUGGACAGAGCCUUGUAACUGCUGAGGUUGGGAGCAGGAGGGCAGAGACUUUUUCUGAAUCUGUUUUGGGGGGAUACUCAUUAAUUGAUGAGAACCCAUAAAUGCAACAUCAAUGCUUUGGACUUUUAUUUCAUGAUUAUUUUAAAAGAACUCCAUUGAUGAAACCUUUCAAAUGCAA
Long non-coding RNA from Psammomys obesus (fat sand rat), 3211 nucleotides. RefSeq lists it as uncharacterized. The record is from RefSeq and is a predicted model, not a curated record. The transcript has 2 exons. NCBI's taxonomy places the organism in Eukaryota, Metazoa, Chordata, Mammalia, Rodentia, Muridae.